GGAGGAGUGCUUUUAUUAGAUCAAAACCAAUCGGUGGCGGGUUCAACGCUCGUCAUCGUACAACAUGGUGACUCUGAAUAACUUUACGCUGAUCGCACGGUCAUCGCACCGGCRACGCAUCUUUCAAAUGUCUGCCUUAUCAACUGUCGAUGGUAGGUUCUGCGCCUACCAUGGUUGUAACGGGUAACGGGGAAUCAGGGUUCGAUUCCGGAGAGGGAGCCUGAGAAACGGCUACCACAUCCAAGGAAGGCAGCAGGCGCGCAAAUUACCCACUCCCGGCACGGGGAGGUAGUGACGAAAAAUAACGAUACGGGACUCAUCCGAGGCCCCGUAAUCGGAAUGAGUACACUCUAAACCCUUUAACGAGGAUCAAUUGGAGGGCAA
Molecule: ribosomal RNA, 384 nt
Filed under: Trigonopterus costipennis
Lineage: Eukaryota; Metazoa; Arthropoda; Insecta; Coleoptera; Curculionidae
Description: SSU rRNA
Rfam family: Eukaryotic small subunit ribosomal RNA
Source: RNAcentral